Molecule: long non-coding RNA, 4058 nt
Organism: Balaenoptera acutorostrata (minke whale)
Lineage: Eukaryota; Metazoa; Chordata; Mammalia; Artiodactyla; Balaenopteridae
Exons: 8
Source: RefSeq, a predicted model, not a curated record
UCUACAUGACAGGCGUGUAGCCUUUAAAGACCUUUAUGUUCUUAAGGUUUGGUACCCCGCGAGAUUCAUUAAAGUCCUAAUCCCCAAAGUGAUGGUGUUAGGUGGUGGGCCCUUUGGGAGGUGAUUAGGUCAUGAAGAUGGAGGCCUCACAAUUGGAAUUAGUGCCCUUUUAAAAGAGGUCUCAGAUAAAUCCCCCAGUCUCUGCCAUGUGAAGAUACAAGGAGAAGUGAACAGUGUGUGACCUGGAAGCAGGCUUUCACCAGAACUGGACCAUGCUGACACCCAGAUCUUGGAUUUCCAGACUCUGGAACUGUGAGUAAUUUCUGCUCUUUACAAACUACCCAGGCUAUGCUAUUUUGUUGAAGAUGCCCAAAUAGUAAGACAUGUCCUGACCUAUUGUAUCCUCAGAAUACCUUCCAGGAGUGUGUAAAAUACCUAAAGGGAGAGACACCAUCUUACCCAACCCCGUUUCCUAGACAGCUAGUCCAGUCCCUAUCAUUUCAGGAGCUCAAUCAUAUAUUUGAUAGAUAUAUUUGAUAGAUACGAUGUGAGAGGACAAUAAUCUACAGAUACUUUAAAAUUCUUUGUGGUUCUACAAGGGAAGUUACAAUGGAAUAUUGUAUGAGGUAUUUUUUAAAAGACUGUUUGCAGCACUGUUUUCUUCAAGUUCGCAUUUUCAGUAUUUAGAAGAUAAGGAUGAGAAUCACGGGCCUGGACAUAAAUGGAAGACCCACGCUCCACUUUCAGUUCAGUCAUCCUCAAGUACUUGCAAGGAGCUACGUGGCCCUACUUUUCUUGUCUCCCUCAGGCAGGUACUCAGAGCAGCUGGAUACAGGCUCCCACAGCCAGACACCUGCAUCACGAAGCUCACCGUGGCCUGCCAACCUCCUCACUGAUGACACCCAGGAUGAUGUUCUCCAACCCUGUCUGCACCCUUAGCUGUGACCAGCCCCGAACCACGGCCUGCCAAAGCAGGAGACCCUCACAAGUUCUGCACCUAAUGGAAGAAUCUUUCUUGUUUUCCUGCCUGAAGGACAAGAAGGUUUUCAGGUUCCUCCAGGAGCAGCCAGUUCCAAAUAGCUCAGGUCACCUCUUUCUCCAUGCGGUAAUCUAGCAGACCUUCAACUUUUUCAGCAAAAAGGGAUGAUAAUUCUCAUUGGACUGAUCAGCAGCUAGAAUUUUCGGAGGCCUGUUUGGUGCAGGAAAUGGAGAUGGAAAGACUUUCUGAGCAAUGAGGACUCCAGCCAUACUUUGAAGAACUCCUUCCAAAGUACCAGGCUCAGGGAAUUCCCUGGUGGUCCAGUGCUUAGGACUCUGCGCCUUCACUGCUGUGACUUGGAUUCAAUCCCUGAUCCCACAGGCAGCUGGACGUGGCCAAAAAAAACAAAAACAAAAACAAAAACAAAAACCCAAAAGUAAAUACAGAGUACCAGGGUCGAUCUGAGAAGGAAAGUACACAGCUGCUGUUGCCUGGGACAUUGUCAUACUGGAAGUUAAGAUGUGAAAAUCAGUAAAUGCUUUCUUUGUAUUAAUAAGCUCAUCAGAAGACUCAGGAAGUUGAAAAGGAGACUUAAUCUUCAACAGUAUGUCUCAUCUACAGUCCUCCCUCAGUACCCAAGGGGGAGAGGUUCCAGAACCUCCACGGAUACCGUGGAUCUUCAAGUUCCUUAUAUAAGAUGGUAAGAUUGCUGCCACGUCUUGCUUGCUGUCCACGGGGUGUCGCUGCAGGACCAUUUUCUUAAGAUUCCCUGUCCGGGAUGGAGCACUGGAGUGGCAGGUUAUGCAUUUUUCUUGUGCCUGAUACCACCAUCUGCAGUCAUCUGCACAUCUCUCCAAAUAGAAUGGUGUUGGUCCAGCAACAUCACUGAUGUAAUAACUACCCCAGGUAAGUGAGACUAUGGACACAAUAAUCAGUUUUAAUGAUUUUUUAACAAAACAUCCAGCUAGUGACUUGAUUGUAGUUCGAGACUGGUUAGUAGCAGUAACGAGAUGACCCCAGUUCUACCAUUGUCCUGAAAGAAGUCCCCUUUGUGGCUCCUGCCUCUGCACACAACCAAUGCUUCAGCAGACUUAGGUCAUUCUCAAAGUUAUAAUCCUGAUCGCUACCUAGAUCUUGAUAGGGCUUCUCUACUGUGCCCCAAUAGAUACUCCACAAAGUCAGGUUGUCCACUGGGAGCUUUGACCAGCUGCAAGCGCCCAGCAGGAUAUGUAAAAACCCAUUUCUGGACACUGAGUUUGGGGGCUAAGUAGAGGCAUCUCCUUGAGCUUGGUCUACACACAGAAGUAUUCCCAAAUGAUAGCCAGGAACCUGUUGCACAUGGCUGGUAAGUGCACUACGAGGUAAGUGGUGAGGGUGAAUGAGAAAUGCAGAUACGGAAACUGGAGAAGUAAACUAAGUGGACAGUGUAAGUGAAAUCCAUAACCCACUCCCCUUACAGGAUGAAGCAGGAAAAGUUGAGGGCACAGGUUUUUGCUCAUUAAUGGAGAGUCAGCCUGGAAAGUUAGUUAGAAAACCCUCUUUCCCCAUUCUCUGAGGUUCUUAAGUGAUGCCUUUGAGUGUGUCUGUAUACAUAGGGUACAUAGAAGGUUUGUGAAAUCUGUGUUAUCUGGAUAAGGAUGGAGGGAUUAAUAACCAAACACUUUGCCUAGUAUGAAGAAAUGAGUUGUUUUUAUGGAUCACUAAUUAAUUCCUGGCUGGAAUGUGUUGGCUUCUAAGUGAUAAACUAUCCUUCCAACUAAGAUAAAAGUUCAGUCAGUAGAAAUUAGACUUGCCCUCCAUUCACACAUAUAGACUCUGCUGAUGGGCUCUUUGGUGAAAUGAGGCAAAGAAUGAUAAACCUCUAACUCUAUAGUCACAGCCUUCUGGAAGAUGGACCAGUAAAGAGCUAGAAUACUGCAUGAACUUAAAAAUGGGAAAGGGCUGUGUACACGAUGAAACAUCUGAGCUCAGGUAGCAGACCUUAACUGCCGUCAGCAGCUUUAUAUUCAUCUUGUUCUAAUACUGUAUUAAAUAGAACAGAAGGAACAAGGAAGGUUAUAUCCAGAAAAGAACUAUUGGCAUAAGUGCAUUCUUGACAGGCUUCAGGAGGCACAAUUAAGAGGUCACCUGUUUUCAAUCAUAUCCAUCCUGGAAGAAAGAAUACUCAGUAUGAGAAUAUUCUGCUCUGAGACAACAGAGGAAAUGGAUAUUCUCUUUGGCCAAGAUGGUGGAGUAGAAAGACCCUGAGCUUACCUCCUCUCAUGAGCACACCAAAAUCACCAGUACUUGCAGAACAACCAUCAAUGAAAAAGACCAGAACCAACCAGAAGAGAUCAUCUACAGCUAAAGACAUAAAAAAGGAACCACGAUGAGAAAGGAUGGCAGCAAGGUCCAGAAGGCUCAAAUCACUGCUGUCCUCCAUCAGAUGCUUCAGCAAAUCUUCAAACUGUUCAGCAUAAGAGGUUGGUUGGAAUGAGACUGGCCUGGACAAGUUCUUCACUGAACUUCAUCAGCAUUGGCAAGUCCUGGAGACCGGCUUGGUGCAGUAGUUGGGGAUGGAAGGACUCCCCUGAGCUGUGAAGACUCCAUAAUGGCUGUGAAAAAGCACUUCCAAGCAAACAGUUUUUCUCUGGAAAAGAAAGAACAGAGCUGCUACACCUGGGUAGUUGUCAGAGCAAGAAAUCAUGAAAUCCUUCUCUUUAUGAUCAAGCUUGCAAGAAAGAUUAAGAGCUAAGGAACUAGAGGAUCUUAGUUCCCUGACCAGGGAUCGAACCCAGGCCACAGGAGUGAAAGCUUGGAGUCCUAACCACUGGACCACCAGGGGACACGGGUUCGAUCCCUGGUCCGGGAAGAUCCCGCAUGCCGUGGACCAACUAAGCCCGUCCGUGCGCCACAACUACUGAGCCUGCGCUCUAGAGCCCGUGUGCCACAACUACUGAGCCCACGUACCACAACUACUGAAGCCCAUGUGCCUAGAACCUGUGCUCUGCAAUAAGAGAAGCCACCGCAAGGAGAAGCCCGCACACCACAACGAAGAUUAGCCCCCGCUCGCCACAACUAGAGAAAGCCCGCAUGCAGC